Molecule: long non-coding RNA, 353 nt
Organism: Helianthus annuus (common sunflower)
Lineage: Eukaryota; Viridiplantae; Streptophyta; Magnoliopsida; Asterales; Asteraceae
Exons: 3
Source: RefSeq, a predicted model, not a curated record
GAACAAGCAGGAGCUCCAUGAGCUCAAGAAACCCUAAGCAUGAAGAAUCAUCAAAUUGAAGGGUGAAUCGAGGUCUAAAUUCAUGAAUAAACACGGAUUAAUGAUCACUUACACGAGGGGAUCAUAAGGGAUCAUGUCAAGAUGGAUGGAAGCAUGGAAGGCUAACGGGUCAAAAGGAGGCGAGGAAACGGAUGCGAAUACAGACACUUAAGGUUGUACGAAUCACAGAUUAUCAUCACGAGGAGUAGCGAUCAAGGACCGUGUCACAAGAUAGAUUGUACGGGAAUGCUUGAGUAUGUAAUUUGAUAAACAUAAGUUAUGCUUUUAUUUUAUUAAAUGAGUACGAAGAUGCA